RNA transcript from Nicotiana tabacum (common tobacco), 1341 nucleotides. It is a transcript of the gene named protein PLANT CADMIUM RESISTANCE 7-like, with no coding region annotated. Lineage: Eukaryota; Viridiplantae; Streptophyta; Magnoliopsida; Solanales; Solanaceae. The record is from RefSeq and is a predicted model, not a curated record.
CCUGCCUAGCUACCAAGAAAAUUGUUUAAACAAAUUCUUGGGGAAAAAUAAUUCAACUCCCUCGAUCAAAAAUCAAGAACUAAAGCCCUUACUUCUCUCCCCUCCUCCUUCCUUUUUUCUUCUUGCUAUCCCUCUCUUCCAUGUCUGUUUUGUCCUGAUCUCUGUUUCUGCUAAUAAUUAACAAUGUAUCCCCAUAUAAACUCGAAUGGGUAUGACCAAUUCGCUUCUAAAUCAUUAGAAAAAUCUUCUCAACCAUAUUUUUACCCUCAUUUAUUACCUUAUGGGUAUGGUAUGCCCCCAACACAACAACUUCCUCCACCAUAUGGAUCUUCUGGGUCUAAUGUAUAUGUCCAAAGAGCCCCUAUUGGAAUAACCAAACCAAUGCAAGAGACAACUUGGUCAACCAACAUUUUUGCAUGUUGUAGAGACCCCAAAAAUUGUCUUACAACAUGUUUUUGUCCAUGUAUAACAUCCGGGCAUGUUACAGAAAUUGUCAGUGAAGGACGAACGUCAUGCAUGGAAGGAGUGAUAGUAAACUUGUUGCUAUGUUGUUGUUUGGCUGCACCCCUUUACACAUUUUACAACAGGGUUAAAUUGAGAAAAAAGUUCAAGUUGGAAGGGAACGGCGUUCUUGAUUGCAUUACUCAUACACUUUGCUGUUAUUGUGCAUUGUGUCAAGAGUAUCGUGAGCUUCAUCGUCAAGGAUUUGACCCUAGUCUUGGAUGGGCAGAAAAUAUUGAGAGGCAAAGCCAUGCUGUUGCUGUUUUCACUAUCACGCCACCUCAAGUUCAAGAAGCAAUGAAAAGAUAGAUAAGAUCUCGAAUAUUUUUCGACCAGUUAAUUGUCAAGAUCCAGGUACCGCUACUCAAGCCUACCAUCGUUCAGGGAGGAAACUGCUCUAGAGACUUCGAGAUGGGGAGGACACGUGCUACUCGAGAUGAUCAGGCACCCGUGCCCCCUACUGCAGCCAUUAGAGGCCAGGGCCUGGGUAGAGGCCGAGGACGCGCAUAUGGUGCAGCCAGAGCCCCUACGCGAGCUACCGCCAAUGUACCACCAGCAAUUCCAGCUGAAGUCCAGGCACCUGACAUGCCUACUGCUACUACUACUACUCCAGCUCUUCAGGAGACUUUGGCGCAGUUCAUGAGCAUGUACAUCACCUUGGCUCAGGCAUGGUUACUCCUCAUUGCUGCAGCCAUAUCCUAGACUGGGGGAGGAGCAUAGAGUCCCGCCGCCCGUACUCCUGAGCAGCGAAUUCAUGUUGAGCAAGUCCCUGAGAUUAUUCUUGUGCCACCUGCAGUGCCGGUUCAGCCCGAGGACAGGGCAACGGCUUCCGAGGAUGAG